This 460-nucleotide ribosomal RNA is filed under the name uncultured bacterium. RNAcentral describes it as "partial 16S ribosomal RNA". It matches the Rfam family "Bacterial small subunit ribosomal RNA", at positions 338 to 795 of the family's 1533-position model. The record is from RNAcentral.
CCUACGGGAGGCAGCAGUGAGGAAUAUUGGUCGAUGGCCGGAAGGCUGAACCAGCCAUGCCGCGUGAAGGUCAGUGCCCUAUGGGCGUUAAACUUCUUUUGUGCGGGAGCAAUAAUGGUCACGUGUGGCCAGACGAGAGUACCGUACGAAUAAGCAUCGGCUAACUCCGUGCCAGCAGCCGCGGUAAUACGGGGGAUGCAAGCGUUAUCCGGAUUUAUUGGGUUUAAAGGGUGCGUAGGCUGUGAGGUAAGUCAGCGGUGAAAUGCCCCCGCUCAACGGGGUGAAGUGCCAUUGAUACUGCCUGGCUGGAAUGCGGAUGCCGUGGGAGGAAUGUGUGGUGUAGCGGUGAAAUGCAUAGAUAUCACACAGAACACCGAUUGCGAAGGCAUCUCACGAAGCCGCGAUUGACGCUGAUGCACGAAAGCGUGGGUAUCAAACAGGAUUAGAUACCCCAGUAGUC